GACGAACGCUGGCGGCGUGCCUAACACAUGCAAGUAGAACGCUGAAGGAAGGAGCUUGCUCUUUCUGGAUGAGUUGCGAACGGGUGAGUAACGCGUAGGUAACCUGCCUGGUAGCGGGGGAUAACUAUUGGAAACGAUAGCUAAUACCGCAUAAAAUUGAUUAUUGCAUGAUAGUCAAUUAAAAGGUGCAACUGCACCACUACCAGAUGGACCUGCGUUGUAUUAGCUAGUUGGUGGGGUAACGGCUCACCAAGGCGACGAUACAUAGCCGACCUGAGAGGGUGAUCGGCCACACUGGGACUGAGACACGGCCCAGACGCCUACGGGAGGCAGCAGUAGGGAAUCUUCGGCAAUGGACGGAAGUCUGACCGAGCAACGCCGCGUGAGUGAAGAAGGUUUUCGGAUCGUAAAGCUCUGUUGUAAGAGAAGAACGAGUGUGAGAGUGGAAAGUUCACACUGUGACGGUAUCUUACCAGAAAGGGACGGCUAACUACGUG
Molecule: ribosomal RNA, 497 nt
Filed under: uncultured bacterium
Lineage: Bacteria
Description: partial 16S ribosomal RNA
Rfam family: Bacterial small subunit ribosomal RNA
Source: RNAcentral